Molecule: ribosomal RNA, 1354 nt
Filed under: Lactiplantibacillus plantarum
Lineage: Bacteria; Bacillati; Bacillota; Bacilli; Lactobacillales; Lactobacillaceae
Description: bacterial SSU rRNA
Rfam family: Bacterial small subunit ribosomal RNA
Source: RNAcentral
AACUCUGGUAUUGAUUGGUGCUUGCAUCAUGAUUUACAUUUGACUGAGUGGCGAACUGGUGAGUAACACGUGGGAAACCUGCCCAGAAGCGGGGGAUAACACCUGGAAACAGAUGCUAAUACCGCAUAACAACUUGGACCGCAUGGUCCGAGCUUGAAAGAUGGCUUCGGCUAUCACUUUUGGAUGGUCCCGCGGCGUAUUAGCUAGAUGGUGGGGUAACGGCUCACCAUGGCAAUGAUACGUAGCCGACCUGAGAGGGUAAUCGGCCACAUUGGGACUGAGACACGGCCCAAACUCCUACGGGAGGCAGCAGUAGGGAAUCUUCCACAAUGGACGAAAGUCUGAUGGAGCAACGCCGCGUGAGUGAAGAAGGGUUUCGGCUCGUAAAACUCUGUUGUUAAAGAAGAACAUAUCUGAGAGUAACUGUUCAGGUAUUGACGGUAUUUAACCAGAAAGCCACGGCUAACUACGUGCCAGCAGCCGCGGUAAUACGUAGGUGGCAAGCGUUGUCCGGAUUUAUUGGGCGUAAAGCGAGCGCAGGCGGUUUUUUAAGUCUGAUGUGAAAGCCUUCGGCUCAACCGAAGAAGUGCAUCGGAAACUGGGAAACUUGAGUGCAGAAGAGGACAGUGGAACUCCAUGUGUAGCGGUGAAAUGCGUAGAUAUAUGGAAGAACACCAGUGGCGAAGGCGGCUGUCUGGUCUGUAACUGACGCUGAGGCUCGAAAGUAUGGGUAGCAAACAGGAUUAGAUACCCUGGUAGUCCAUACCGUAAACGAUGAAUGCUAAGUGUUGGAGGGUUUCCGCCCUUCAGUGCUGCAGCUAACGCAUUAAGCAUUCCGCCUGGGGAGUACGGCCGCAAGGCUGAAACUCAAAGGAAUUGACGGGGGCCCGCACAAGCGGUGGAGCAUGUGGUUUAAUUCGAAGCUACGCGAAGAACCUUACCAGGUCUUGACAUACUAUGCAAAUCUAAGAGAUUAGACGUUCCCUUCGGGGACAUGGAUACAGGUGGUGCAUGGUUGUCGUCAGCUCGUGUCGUGAGAUGUUGGGUUAAGUCCCGCAACGAGCGCAACCCUUAUUAUCAGUUGCCAGCAUUAAGUUGGGCACUCUGGUGAGACUGCCGGUGACAAACCGGAGGAAGGUGGGGAUGACGUCAAAUCAUCAUGCCCCUUAUGACCUGGGCUACACACGUGCUACAAUGGAUGGUACAACGAGUUGCGAACUCGCGAGAGUAAGCUAAUCUCUUAAAGCCAUUCUCAGUUCGGAUUGUAGGCUGCAACUCGCCUACAUGAAGUCGGAAUCGCUAGUAAUCGCGGAUCAGCAUGCCGCGGUGAAUACGUUCCCGGGCCUUGUACACA